UUGUUUAAUUUACUUAAACUCCGACGCAGAGAUGCAGUGUUGGAAGGCCUCCGGGGGCGCUCGCCGCGAACGGCAGGGUCGCCCCCGAAGCAACAAGUUGUGUUCACAAAGGGUUGGAGGCCGGGGCACGAAGUGGCAUAUUUAGACCACCGCGUGUCCUUCGGAACUCGGUAAUGAUCCCUCCGCAGGUUCACCUACGGAGA
RNAcentral lists this unclassified non-coding RNA (203 nucleotides) under uncultured fungus. RNAcentral describes it as "sequence contains ITS1". Lineage: Eukaryota; Fungi. The record is from RNAcentral.